Bombyx mori (domestic silkworm) is the source of this 84-nucleotide non-coding RNA. The record is from Rfam. NCBI's taxonomy places the organism in Eukaryota, Metazoa, Arthropoda, Insecta, Lepidoptera, Bombycidae.
UUAACUCAAAUUUGUAUGGUGUUGGAAUGUUUGCCUGCGUUUGCCGCUAGGGGCACUGUUCCAACUACAUACAAAUUUGAGUUA